GACAGAGGAUGCAAGCGUUAUCCGGAAUGAUUGGGCGUAAAGCGUCUGUAGGUGGCUUUUCAAGUCCGCCGUCAAAUCCCGGGGCUCAACCCUGGAAUGGCAUUGAAUACUGGUGGACUAGAGUACUGGAGAGGAAACUGGAAUUUACGGUGUAGCAGUGAAAUGCGUAGAGAUGUGGAGGAAUACCGAUGGCGAAGGCAGCCUCCUGGGCCAACACUGACGCUCAUGCACGAAAGCGUGGGGAGCAAACAGG
This 253-nucleotide ribosomal RNA is filed under the name uncultured bacterium. Its description in RNAcentral is "partial 16S ribosomal RNA". It matches the Rfam family "Bacterial small subunit ribosomal RNA", at positions 524 to 776 of the family's 1533-position model. The record is from RNAcentral.